Long non-coding RNA from Passer domesticus (house sparrow), 1511 nucleotides. RefSeq lists it as uncharacterized. Lineage: Eukaryota; Metazoa; Chordata; Aves; Passeriformes; Passeridae. The record is from RefSeq and is a predicted model, not a curated record. The transcript is spliced from 6 exons.
GGCGCAGGGGCUUCUCUCCCUCGCUGUUCCGCGGGAAGAGCCGCCUCAGCGCCCUCAUUCCGAGGGAGCCUCCCGUCCCCACAGGGGUCCCCUCCGCAGCACCCAUCUCCCCGCUCCGCCGAGGGCGCUGGGAGCUGUAGUUCCCUCCCGCCGCCUCUCCCGGCAGCCCGUUGCGCCCGGCGGGGGGCGCGGACUACACUUCCCGGCACGCUCCGCGGGAGAUGGGGGGGGCACCCCCGCCCUCCUCCAGCCUCUACCGCUGGUCUCCCCCCCAUCCCCGCCGCCUCUCUCGGCGUGGCGGUGUCCGAGCCGCCGCCCGCCGCGGGCAGCAGCGCCGUGAGGGGCUGCCCCGUUCCCGGGCCCUGCCGUUACCUGGGAGAGCCGGGGCUAUUUUUAACCUGGAUGUGUUCUGUGAUAUGUUUCCUACACAGCACAGAAACUGGCACAGCUGAGGGGCUGGGAGCCAGGAGGGCUGGUGCUUGGGACACCUCCUCCUGGUGGGCUGCCAAGGACGGUGGCAGUGUCCUCCCGCCCAGGGCGGUGGCCGCGGGCACACGGCAUCCCGAGCCUCCCCUCGAGACCUACUUCUGCUGGGAGAGGCAAGCAGUGGCAUCAACCCUCUGCCUCCCAUCCCAAAUGGAGCUGCCCCCCAGCAAGCCAGCUGUCCUCAAGGAUGACACGGUUCUUCCAGACUCUCACUUGUUCACGCAGGGCUGAUCCAAAAAAGAUGUUGGCAGAAGAUGUUACAGACCUUUCAAAAUCCCUCUUCAAACUCCAGCACUUCCUCCUCUCCAUCCUCAGACAGGAAUUGCACAGGUCUGGAUCUCACUACCCAGCCCUGGAGCCCCAACAAGCAGAAGCCGGUGCCCAGCAGCAAGUCCUCCCAAUUACUCCUUCUAAAAACACUUUCACCAAAGAGUUGAUUAGCACUAAAAGUGCCCUCUCUGAGCACCUGUACCAUGCACAAAGAUCACACACCCACUGCCCAGGGAGAGAAUGGAGUCCAGACUUCACCUGGAAGCCCUAACAGCAUCAGCUCCUCCAGCCUUCACUGGGAGAAAGAUUUUGGAAGCUUUUAGGAGCAGCCUGCACAGAAUGCUUGGAGCAUGACUGUCACUACCUGCAAGCUCCAGGGAGAGCAAGCAAGGCUGAAGGGACUUUGGAGAGGGAAUGGGUUUCCCAGAGAUCCAUCAAGCCAGCUUUGCAUGACCAAGUGACAGGAUGGGCUCUGCAGGAUUUCUGUUGAUCCUCCUCCAUGUCUUGGCAUUGGGAUCUGGCUCGUCGACCACUCAAGAAACUUUCCUUUCCUUUAUUUCACUCCAUUUCAUCCUUUGAUGUAAUGCUAAAUAAAAUCUACUUAUUGUUAACCACACCUCACAACAGCAGUGGUUAUGUUUGUUGCUGGUUUAGUUUCCAAGUAAUUUAAAUAAACAACUGAGCCAUGAGCAGAAACUACAAAACAUCCUUUUCCCCUGGACAUCAUGACAUGGCAGGCCAUUAAUAUUUCUUUA